GAUGAACGCUGGCGGCGUGCCUAAUACAUGCAAGUCGAGCGAACAGACGAGGAGCUUGUUCCUCUGACGUUAGCGGCGGACGGGUGAGUAACACGUGGAUAACCUACCUAUAAGACUGGGAUAACUUCGGGAAACCGGAGCUAAUACCGGAUAAUAUAUUGAACCGCAUGGUUCAAUAGUGAAAGACGGUUUUGCUGUCACUUAUAGAUGGAUCCGCGCCGCAUUAGCUAGUUGGUAAGGUAACGGCUUACCAAGGCAACGAUGCGUAGCCGACCUGAGAGGAUGAUCGGCCACACUGGAACUGAGACACGGUCCAGACUCCUACGGGAGGCAGCAGUGGGGAAUCUUCCGCAAUGGGCGAAAGCUUGACGGAGCAACGCCGCGUGAGUGAUGAAGGUCUUCGGAUCGUAAAACUCUGUUAUUAGGGAAGAACAAAUGUGUAAGUAACUAUGCACGUCUUGACGGUACCUAAUCAGAAAGCCACGGCUAACUACGUG
RNAcentral lists this ribosomal RNA (497 nucleotides) under uncultured bacterium. Its description in RNAcentral is "partial 16S ribosomal RNA". It matches the Rfam family "Bacterial small subunit ribosomal RNA", at positions 28 to 507 of the family's 1533-position model. The record is from RNAcentral.